Pongo pygmaeus (Bornean orangutan) is the source of this 1169-nucleotide long non-coding RNA. RefSeq lists it as uncharacterized. NCBI's taxonomy places the organism in Eukaryota, Metazoa, Chordata, Mammalia, Primates, Hominidae. The transcript has 5 exons. The record is from RefSeq and is a predicted model, not a curated record.
CUGGGAGGAAUACUUCCUCUUUGCUGGAUGUGGCGUCUGCAUGUACCAUCUGGAAUUGCUAUAGCCAACUUACAAAUACAGAUGAAAGCUUUAUCAACCUGCUGAGCACAGCCGAAUGGACAGAUGCAAAGCACCCUGCUCUUGGGAACUGGCCACCUUCAGACUUCUUGCUACAUCAGGAACUCUCAAGAAUGGAGAGUUGAAUGGUAGGGCUAGCACUUAAAUAGAAUAGCUGAAGCAGAGAUGACAAACAUCGCGUGCUGAUAGCUUACCAGAUCAGUGAUGGAAGUGUAGAGCAUAACUCUGCACUGACGGCUGAAAUCACCUCUGAGACACCAGCAAGACCCAGCAUGGAGCAAAAGGAGGACUGAUGGAGAGUGGCCCCACCAUUGUGAAUGCUGGCAUUGGAGCCCAUCACAACCUAUAUCAAAACAGAGGAGUCUGAACACUGAUUUGGACAGGAGUAUUGGAGGCUUCUGACUCAGGAUGCAGUUGCAAACAAAGCUGAUUCAACGAGGCAUGGUUUUAUCUACUACAAAGGAUAUCACUUGGGAAGAAAUUUCUUGGAACUGCUCCCAAGAGAGCCAUUGGACCAUGUGGUAAACAACUCCUAGCUGAUGGAUUACUGGGAAUAUUAACACCAUCCAGAACGCUAUGGGGAGAAGACAACUGGAAGCUCCGUGUGGACAAACCUCCUGGACUCUACCCCACAUAUCUCUUCCCUUGGCUGAUUUGAAUUUGUAUCCUUUCAUUGUGAUAAACCACAACCAGAUUAUUACAGCUGUCAGCAAGUUCUUCUACUGAAUUGUUGAAACUGAGGGUGGUCUUGGGAACCCCUGAACUCUACUGUUGGUGUCAGGAGUGAGGGAAGUCUUGUAGACUAUACUCCCUGACCUCACAGGUGCAUUUUCCAACUUUAUGUGGACAUCCCCCAACAACAUCAUCCCCUUCUUCAAAUAUGUUUCUGCUGAAACAUUAUCCUUUAAAUGGUUCCUUCGCUGCCAUUAUGACUAUGGCGUAAUCUGUAGUAAAGCACCAUUAAGAUGUUAAUAAAGAUGUAUGUGUGAAUUAAAAAGUGAUGCUAAAUGCAUAGUAACCAAUUUACUUCACAUUAAUAAUUUAGCUAUUUUUAUUUGUUUCUAAACAAAAAGCAAAGAGGAUCCAGUCCA